Molecule: ribosomal RNA, 433 nt
Filed under: uncultured bacterium
Lineage: Bacteria
Description: partial 16S ribosomal RNA
Rfam family: Bacterial small subunit ribosomal RNA
Source: RNAcentral
AACGAACGCUGGCGGCAUGCCUAACACAUGCAAGUCGAACGAGACCUUAGGAAGUGCUGGCGCUCGGGUGCGUCACGUGGCGGACCGUGCCCUUAGGCUCGGGAAAACUCCUUGUCAGGGGUGCUAAUACCGGGUAACGUCCUCUGAUCAAAGAUUCAUCGCCUUUGGAAGGGCACGCGUUGUAUUAGCCAGGCGGUAGGGUAAAAGCCUACCAAGGCGACGAUAGUUAGCUGGUCUGAGAGGCUGAUCAGCCACACUGAGACUGAGACACGGCCCAGACUCCUGCGGGAGGCAGCAGUGGGGAAUAUAGGACAACGGGCGAAAUCAUGAUCCAGCUAGGCUGCGUGAGUGAUGAAGGCCUUAGAGUUGUAAAGCUCUUUUACCCGGGAUGAUAAUGACAGUACCGAGAGAAUAAGCUCCGGCUAACUCCGUG